ACUUAUGGCCAUAUCACGUUGAAAGCACCGGUUCUCGUCCGAUCACCGAAGUUAAGCAACAUCGAGCCUAGUUAGUACUUAGAUGGGUGACCGCUUGGGAAACCUAGGUGCUGUAAGCA
RNAcentral lists this ribosomal RNA (119 nucleotides) under Octopus vulgaris (common octopus). Lineage: Eukaryota; Metazoa; Mollusca; Cephalopoda; Octopoda; Octopodidae. RNAcentral also lists the same sequence under 1 other name. The record is from RNAcentral.